GAGCCUGUUUAGAAUAAUGAGUACUGCUAAUUCCUCAUAACCAUGGUUCAAUUCCAUGGCACGCUCG
RNAcentral lists this transfer RNA (67 nucleotides) under Mantella baroni. RNAcentral's name for it is "tRNA-Ser". The record is from RNAcentral. Lineage: Eukaryota; Metazoa; Chordata; Amphibia; Anura; Mantellidae.